UAGUCUCAGUUCACUGUUGUCUGC
This 24-nucleotide non-coding RNA is filed under the name Arabidopsis thaliana (thale cress). The record is from RNAcentral. Lineage: Eukaryota; Viridiplantae; Streptophyta; Magnoliopsida; Brassicales; Brassicaceae.